GUUUCAGCGGUGUUCGGCAGAUAGAGUGUCCAUUUUUAGUUCCAUGAAAAUAGAGCUGAACACCGCUGGGCUUUCGCGUGGUUUAAAAUGGCCGCUGCCUCGUGGUCGACAUACGAAAGACGACCACCCUGAAUUCGGUUUAAUUGAGAAGUGUCUGCGGUUAACCACAACGUUCUAAUUGGGAUCAAUAGGUUAACCAGCAGCACAC
This is a non-coding RNA of Pelobates cultripes (western spadefoot toad), 208 nucleotides long. The record is from the annotation of a GenBank genome assembly. Lineage: Eukaryota; Metazoa; Chordata; Amphibia; Anura; Pelobatidae.